AUGUAUUGGUGGAGAUCCUGCUCCGGCUCCCUCCGAGCUCGCGGCGCCGCGCCCGCCUCGUCUGCAGGCUGUGGCGCGACAUCAUCGGCGAACGUGCCACGGAUAGUUCGCAGGCUGUGGCCCUCCUGUGGGGCAUCAGCUCCGGCGUCGCCUACACCGUCGACGACCUCUCGUCGUCCUCGACGGGGAGACGCAGGGAGCUGUGGAGGAGCCCUAGCGGCCGCCCUGUUACGACUAACUUGCACAACGACUGGCAGCUGGUCGGCACGUGCAAUGGCCUGCUCUGUAUAUGCCACAACGGUGGCGCGACGAUCGGCGGCGAGAUCACCCUGGUCAACCCAGCAACGAGCGAAACGUUGCCCGUCCCCCCACUGCCAUGCAAUGGCCAUUUCCGCCGGGAGCGGCUCUGCAGGCGGGAGUGAGAUAGGGCGUACAACUUCGCGUACCACCCCAAGUCCCGGCACUACAAGGUGGUGCACGUCCCCUGCAGCUUCGACGGGGUCUACGAGUACGACGCCGUGCACGUUCUCACGCUUGGGGACGGCGCAUGGCGGGAGGCUCCGGCCCCCGGCGGCGCGAGGUGCAACCUCAACGCCGGCAUUGUCAGCAUCGACGGUGUGA
RNAcentral lists this ribosomal RNA (621 nucleotides) under Triticum aestivum (bread wheat). Its description in RNAcentral is "partial small subunit ribosomal RNA". The record is from RNAcentral. Lineage: Eukaryota; Viridiplantae; Streptophyta; Magnoliopsida; Poales; Poaceae.